This 1226-nucleotide ribosomal RNA is filed under the name uncultured Halomonas sp. RNAcentral's name for it is "bacterial SSU rRNA". It matches the Rfam family "Bacterial small subunit ribosomal RNA", at positions 152 to 1379 of the family's 1533-position model. The record is from RNAcentral. Lineage: Bacteria; Pseudomonadati; Pseudomonadota; Gammaproteobacteria; Oceanospirillales; Halomonadaceae.
GGAAACCCAGGCUAAUACCGCAUACGUCCUACGGGAGAAAGGGGGCUUCGGCUCCCGCUAUUGGAUGAGCCUAUGUCGGAUUAGCUAGUUGGUGAGGUAAAGGCUCACCAAGGCAACGAUCCGUAGCUGGUCUGAGAGGAUGAUCAGCCACAUCGGGACUGAGACACGGCCCGAACUCCUACGGGAGGCAGCAGUGGGGAAUAUUGGACAAUGGGGGCAACCCUGAUCCAGCCAUGCCGCGUGUGUGAAGAAGGCCCUCGGGUUGUAAAGCACUUUCAGCGAGGAAGAACGCCUAGCGGUUAAUACCCGUUAGGAAAGACAUCACUCGCAGAAGAAGCACCGGCUAAUUCCGUGCCAGCAGCCGCGGUAAUACGGAGGGUGCAAGCGUUAAUCGGAAUUACUGGGCGUAAAGCGCGCGUAGGUGGCUUGAUAAGCCGGUUGUGAAAGCCCCGGGCUCAACCUGGGAACGGCAUCCGGAACUGUCAGGCUAGAGUGCAGGAGAGGAAGGUAGAAUUCCCGGUGUAGCGGUGAAAUGCGUAGAGAUCGGGAGGAAUACCAGUGGCGAAGGCGGCCUUCUGGACUGACACUGACACUGAGGUGCGAAAGCGUGGGUAGCAAACAGGAUUAGAUACCCUGGUAGUCCACGCCGUAAACGAUGUCGACCAGCCGUUGGGUGCCUAGAGCACUUUGUGGCGAAGUUAACGCGAUAAGUCGACCGCCUGGGGAGUACGGCCGCAAGGUUAAAACUCAAAUGAAUUGACGGGGGCCCGCACAAGCGGUGGAGCAUGUGGUUUAAUUCGAUGCAACGCGAAGAACCUUACCUACCCUUGACAUCUACAGAAGCCGGAAGAGAUUCUGGUGUGCCUUCGGGAACUGUAAGACAGGUGCUGCAUGGCUGUCGUCAGCUCGUGUUGUGAAAUGUUGGGUUAAGUCCCGUAACGAGCGCAACCCUUGUCCUUAUUUGCCAGCGAGUAAUGUCGGGAACUCUAAGGAGACUGCCGGUGACAAACCGGAGGAAGGUGGGGACGACGUCAAGUCAUCAUGGCCCUUACGGGUAGGGCUACACACGUGCUACAAUGGCCGGUACAAAGGGCUGCGAGCUCGCGAGAGUCAGCGAAUCCCUUAAAGCCGGUCUCAGUCCGGAUCGGAGUCUGCAACUCGACUCCGUGAAGUCGGAAUCGCUAGUAAUCGUGAAUCAGAAUGUCACGGUGAAUACGUUCCCGGGC